AUACUCACUUUGGCAGCACAUAUACUAAAAUUGAAAUGAUACAGAGAAGAUUAGUGUGGACCCUAUGUGAAGAUGACAUGCAAAUUCACGGUAUUUUAUAUUUUUAU
Small nuclear RNA from Monodelphis domestica (gray short-tailed opossum), 107 nucleotides. The record is from Ensembl. NCBI's taxonomy places the organism in Eukaryota, Metazoa, Chordata, Mammalia, Didelphimorphia, Didelphidae.